UCAUCGGCGUAGAGUGAGUCGGCCCCUAAGGCGAGGCAGAGAUGCGUAGCUGAUGGGAAACAGGUCAAUAUUCCUGUACCGAUGUGUAGUGCGAUGUGGGGACGGAUCUUAAUAAGUCAUCCGGGUGUUGGAUAUCCCGGUUUAGCUGGAUGUAGGCGAUGGGUAGGCAAAUCCGCCCGUCAUAUACCGAGGCCAGCGAUCGAGCAAGCUUGCUUGUGAAGUGACCGAACGAGGUUCCAGGAAAAGCCACUAAGCUUCAGCUGCACACGACCGUACCGCAAACCGACACUGGUGCGCGAGAUGAGUAUUCUAAGGCGCUUGAGAGAACUCGGGAGAAGGAACUCGGCAAAUUGACACCGUAACUUCGGAAGAAGGUGUGCCCUAUUAGUGUGACGCGAACAGCGGAGCAUGAACGGGUUGCAAAGAAUCGGUGGCUGCGACUGUUUAUUAAAAACACAGCACUCUGCAAACACGAAAGUGGACGUAUAGGGUGUGACGCCUGCCCGGUGCUGGAAGAUUAAAUGAUGGGGUGCAAGCUCUUGAUUGAAGUCCCAGUAAACGGCGGCCGUAACAAUAACGGUCCUAAGGUAGCGAAAUUCCUUGUCGGGUAAGUUCCGACCUGCACGAAUGGCGUAACGAUGGCCACACUGUCUCCUCCCGAGACUCAGCGAAGUUGAAAUUUUGUGAUGAUGCAAUCUCCCCGCGGAAAGACGGAAAGACCCCAUGAACCUUUACUGUAGCUUUGUAUUGGACUUUGAACAGAUCUGUGUAGGAUAGGUGGGAGGCUUUGAAGCAGGGUCGCUAGAUCUUGUGGAGCCAACGUUGAAAUACCACCCUGGUGUGUUUGAGGUUCUAACCUAGGUCCAUUAUCUGGAUCGGGGACCGUGCAUGGUAGGCAGUUUGACUGGGGCGGUCUCCUCCCAAAGCGUAACGGAGGAGUUCGAAGGUACGCUAGUUACGGUCGGACAUCGUGACGAUAGUGCAAUGGCAUAAGCGUGCUUAACUGCGAGACUGACAAGUCGAGCAGAUGCGAAAGCAGGACAUAGUGAUCCGGUGGUUCUGUAUGGAAGGGCCAUCGCUCAACGGAUAAAAGGUACUCUGGGGAUAACAGGCUGAUACCGCCCAAGAGUUCAUAUCGACGGCGGUGUUUGGCACCUCGAUGUCGGCUCAUCUCAUCCUGGGGCUGUAGCCGGUCCCAAGGGUAUGGCUGUUCGCCAUUUAAAGAGGUACGUGAGCUGGGUUUAAAACGUCGUGAGACAGUUUGGUCCCUAUCUUCCGUGGGCGCUGCAGAUUUGAGGAAGCCUGCUCCUAGUACGAGAGGACCGGAGUGGACACACCUCUGGUGUAUCGGUUGUCACGCCAGUGGCAUUGCCGAGUAGCUAUGUGUGGAAGAGAUAAACGCUGAAAGCAUCUAAGCGUGAAACUCGUUUCAAGAUGAGAUCUGCCGGGGCCUUGAGCCCCCUGAAGAGUCGUUCGAGACUAGGACGUUGAUAGGCAGGGUGUGGAAGCGCAGUAAUGCGUUAAGCUAACCUGUACUAAUUGCUCGUGUGGCUUGACU
RNAcentral lists this ribosomal RNA (1558 nucleotides) under metagenome. RNAcentral describes it as "bacterial LSU rRNA". It matches the Rfam family "Bacterial large subunit ribosomal RNA", at positions 1366 to 2925 of the family's 2925-position model. The record is from RNAcentral.